This 66-nucleotide transfer RNA is filed under the name Rhipidia chenwenyoungi. RNAcentral describes it as "tRNA-Pro". The record is from RNAcentral. Lineage: Eukaryota; Metazoa; Arthropoda; Insecta; Diptera; Limoniidae.
CAGAAAAUAGUUUAUGGUAAAAUAUUAAUUUUGGAGAUUAAUGAUAGGAAAUUUUUCUUUUUCUGA